RNAcentral lists this long non-coding RNA (6276 nucleotides) under Cottoperca gobio. RNAcentral's name for it is "lncRNA (ENSCGOG00000001983.1)". Lineage: Eukaryota; Metazoa; Chordata; Actinopteri; Perciformes; Bovichtidae. The record is from RNAcentral.
AAAUUCCUAUAGUCCGACUCGAGUCGACUUUCCUUACAGUGUUGGAGGGCGGGAACGCGCGUGCAGCCGUAGAGCGAGAGGGCGAGAGAGAGAGAGAGAGAGAGAGAGAGAGAGAGAGAGAGAGAGAGAGAGAGAUGUACAAUAUUCUGCCAAUACAGAUUUAUCUAUUCUGCUCUAAUUCACCGGCAACAUAAUACCCCGGGUCGAUACAAACGUCCUCUCUCUCUCUCUCUCUCUCUCUCUCUCUCUCUCUCUCUCUCUCUCUCUCUCUCUCUCUCUCUAUCCACCACAUACACAUACACGCGCCGGCCGCAGCCGUCAGCUGCUUGUAUGCUUCCCUCCUCGCACCAGCGGGUGGCCGCCUGGCUGCUCGCGCUACCGUUAGGGAGAGGUGGAGAGGAAUGCGCGCGCCGCGGCCGCCUGGAGAUGAUCUCGUUUUGGUUGCUGUGCUGGAAGCUGUUGAGAGCAUCAGCUGGACUAAGGAGACCAGCUGAGCUAACAGACAGUAACCCCGACAGCGGUAGCUCCAGCGACAAUAACCCUGUCAACAAUUCUCACACUCCUAUUCAGUCAACAAAUACAGUUACCAUGGAAAUCAGCUCAUCGCCACCAAUAACAGACAUGGAGAGAGAAAACUUGGUUAGCUGGCGCAGCCAGGAAGUCGAAGAGCUCCAUUACCCAGAGGUCCAUGGGGUGCAGCAGCCAAACGGGGAUGAGCAGGAGGAAGAAAAGCCUGCAGGGAAAGAAAAUGGAGAAAGAGAUGGAGAUGGAGAUGAGUGUGAUUAUAUUGUUUUUGAGAUAGGAGCGCAGAAGGGAGGGGACAAAGGAGGUGACGGUGAAGAUGAUGGAGGACAAGACACAGAGAGAGGAGACGAGGAGGGAGAAGAAGUAGGAAGAAGAGACACAGAAGGAAAGGAAGAAGGGAGAGAAAAAACAGAGAGAGAAGAUGGAGGAAGAGGAGACACAGAAGAAGAGGACAGGUGGAUAGGAGAGAAAGUGGGAGAGAUAAAGGACGAUGCUCUGUCGGAGCUCCUCUUCUUUAGUCCUUCAUCACCAGAGCCCCUAACUGUCACCUCAGAUCCUUUAGAGGCCUGGGGUCACGACCUCAGCAACAGAGAUGACCUAAGCGACAGUCACCUUAGCGACUGCCUCCAAGCUGAGCUGGCUGUUGUGUACUCGGAUAGCGACGCAGGAGAGGACCAAUGGGCUAUCUUCACACCCUGUGAUGUCACUAACCAAGAAGAAGCAGGUGGAGGGAUUCAUGAUAGCAUCUGUGAUGGAGAGAGCAAGGAAGAGGAGAGAGGGUAUGAGGCAGAAGUAGAGACUGGAACAGAGGAGCAGAGAGAGGAGGAAGAGGAGAAGAGGAGGGGAGGCAGGGGUGAUGAUGAUGAGGAGCAGAUGAGGUCAGGGAGAGAUCUUUUCCUGCGUACUCCUUCUGUCAGCUCCUCAGCCAGUUCCACAGACCCUGACAGGAAGGUUCCUGUAGACUUCUGUGUCCAACAGCAGAGCCACAGUGAAAAUGUCUCCAAUGAGCAUGUGGACUUUCUGUUGGCCCGCCAGCAGUGGAGGAAGAUGGAGGAUGAGGUGAAAGGUCAGCCAAUCCCCAAACCAGGGCUCAGAGCUCAGGGGAGCUUCCAGGGCACCCACACUUCACUGUAUCCCCCCACUCGCAGCCCCCGACUCAAACACAGGGAGAUCCAUCCACCACCAGUGCCCCGGGAGCCCCCCCUGGCCUACACCCUGUCCCCCAGUUCAGAGGACUCAGGCCUGGAUGACUUGUCAUACCGCAGCCCGCUGGAGGAGCCAGAGAGUGCGGUGGAGAGAGAGAUCCGACUGACUCUGGAGAGAGAGGAACGGCACCGCAGGGAGAGGGGUGUGAUUACACAGGGCCUCACUAUACCCAGACCCUCCACCCUGCAGACAGGACGAUCUCCACCCAGACCUCCAGCCUGCCGCACCCCUACCUUGUCCAUCUCCCCAUCCCCUUCCUGCUCCUCUUCCCUUCCCCGAUCUGUCUACCAUGAAAUGACAGCCAAUAAUGUCAUUAUCUUGGAGCCUGACUGCUCCAACUCCGCCUCCAGGAACCGCCUACUCUCCUCUGCAAUCGGGGGCCUCUCCGAUUGGCCGACAAGCCACGAUGCCAUGCCAUGUGCCACCGUCAUCGUUGUGGAAACCUCCAAUCUCAUCAUUCGCAGCGCUUCUGAAUUCUGUCUAAGCUCCGCCCCUGUGUCCAUGGAAAUGCAGGAGAGCACUUUCUCAUCCAAUCCGUUCUUUAAGCUACGCUCCCUCAGCAGCCAGUCGCUGGUGGAGCAAGAGAUCCGCAUGGUGAGGCAGCGGGAGGAGGAGUGGAGGAGGCAGAGGGAGGAGAUGUGGAGGAGGAGGAAGGAGGAGGACUGGAAGAGAGGGAGGGAGAGGUACGAUACUGUGCUGGUGUCUCCAGGCCUCAACGAUAAUAUAAGUUUCAACGUGCCAGAGGUUCCAGACAGAUGUGUCUCCUCCCCUUCCUCCCCCUCCAGGAACCGCAAAAUGGAACGCUCCAGUAUGUCUUGUGACCAGAAGUUCCCCUCUUCCCUCUCUUCGGUGCCAAGACGACAGAACGCCAUGGCGCAGCGAUGGGAGGCCUCCCUAUCAGCCAAUCAGAAGGAGUGAGCGAUGACUCAACUGUCAGCCAUUUAAAAGCCAAAAUGAAAUGUUACGCCUUGUUCCUUCUGUUCAGAACUCGUUAAUGUUUCCAUAAUGCUUUAAAGUCAAACUGUCUGCUGCAUGAUGUCUGAAACAGAAUGUCACAAUGGAAGUGCCAGCCAUGUCACACUUUAGAUAUUGUUUGUAUUAUACCUUGUGUGGACUUCUAAGGCACAUUCCCAGGAGGUGUAUCCUAAUAAUAACUGAGUAAAAUUGCAAUCAUAAUGAUACCACUGUUUUUUACAUGUGACCUAGAUUUUAUGUAAACUUCUAAAGCACAUGUCAGAAUCUGGGGUAUUCUCCUUUAAUAUUUACAGCACUUUGAUUUCUAGAUGUUUAUGAAUUAUGGUACUACAAGUGUGGAUAUUUAUUGAUUUUAUGACUGACUGACUGUAUUGCAGAGAUUUUCAAACUUUUUCUGGGCAGUCACAUUUAGACAUUAAAAUGAGUAACAGCAUAUACAGCUUUUAUUAGAAAAUAUUGUAGCUUUGCAGAGAUUUGACAAGGUACAACAUUAUUUAGCAUGUUGUAUUCUUUAAAAAAUGACAAUUCAUGUAUUUUUAGUUGCCAAGCCAGAAUUUAAAAAUCACUGCCUGUGUGAAAUGUUAUAAUGAGCCAUCGAUCAAAAGACUUUGGAUAUUGCGGGUUUCCAUGUCAGCCAUGUUGGCUGCUAACUGAAUACUAUUUGGGUCAUAUUUUCACUGACUAGUUUUUGCCUGUUCUUUGGAAGAGGUCGGUUGUUACCCAGUGUUCCGGAGGGGGGCAGUUUUGUGGAAAGAGCAAACACACUCUUUUCAGACAUAUUGUAAUUUCAAGCCAUGCUAAUGUUCUUUACUCGCCGUACGCCACAGGGCUUUUCUGAUGAAAGCUUUUGAUGUUCUACAUAAAACCAACAGUGGUAAGGCCUACAAGUUAACCUGAGCCGUGUUAAAACAAUUAAACCUUUAUCAGAUAGCUACCUAAUGUAAGAUUAGAUUGGCUCCGCCCUGUUUGCCCUUUGGCUUCUGAAGAAACAUGUGAAUACAGGCUCUGAUAUAUCAAAACUACACAGUCAUUACCUGAGACAGGAAGGCUACAAAUACACAGCUGGUAGGGCUGUACCGAAUGUCUUUCUCUUUUACAUUUGAAGCUUCUGUUGAGGUUAGCUAAUGAAGCUUUCCCUAAAUCCUCAAUUUGAAUGAAAUUAUUUGUUGGAUUAAAUUAGUCUGUCUUUUUAAUUUUUUUAUUAAAGAAACUCAUCAGUUUUGUCAACAUAAAUACAUGUAGGUGCGGACUAAGUUUCAGUAAAUUAUGAAUCAUUUAAGCGCUGCUUUGAUACUCCCCGCACGAACCUGUGAUAUGUUCUAGUAAGCUUAUACAAACCCACGCAUCACUUCUACUGGAAUCUAAUUCUACAGAUAGUAUAAUACUAUUAAUAUUCGUGUAGCCUAAUCUUUAUUUCCACCUGUGCAGAAAUACCAGUUUUAAACACAAUGAACAGACAUACAGAAGAAAAAAAAGCUGAGCAGGAUUUCGAUGUUGAUUUAGAAUUUGAAUGUCAACGUGAAUGAAGCUUCUAACUAUUCGGUACAGCCCUAAGAGCAAUACAAAAAGAAAACUUCCAAUAUGGAUUCCUGACACCUGACACACAGGCAUUCUCCACACAGUCGGCGCAUACAUGCUAGCUAGCUUACAGCUAAUGUCUGUUCAGUUGUUACAUUAGCUGUUGGGUCAAAUAGGCUGUAAAAAAAAUACUCAGCUGUCAAAGGUAUGUGAAUGUUCACAUUUAGUCUGAACACAUUUAAAGUGAGCUGUCAUUAGCACAUAUUUGCAGCCAACAUGCUUUAGCUUUUAGCAUGGAAGUCCCGUCCUGACUCUACAACCUGCCACUCUGUCUGUCUGUGGCUCUGCUGGUUUAGCUCAGUAACUCAAGCACUUCUCAAAGACUCAUAAUCUAAUCUAGUCUAGUGAAAAGUUUUACAUAUUUUUAUGUCCUGUCUUGAUUUCUAAAAAGAGAUUUCUUGUACUGUAUUUUUCUGCAUAUAUUUAUGAAUUGAGCAAUGCUUAUAAAUCCUUAAAGCUUUUAUUUGUGAAAGGUUUAUAAUAUAUUGUGUCAGAAUGUUUGAAUUGUAAGUCUGCUAUGUUUUUUAGAGAUGACUUGUGUGUGGUGUGUGCAUGUGUGUGUUUUAUAGUUCUCAUUACAUCCGCUAGUUGGAGCUUCCUUUAGUUUGGCUUCUCCAGCCCCAGGACCAGCCGACUCACUGUUUCCCCACUUGACUCAGCCGUAUAAAGGUGUAUUUAAGUCAACUCAGAAAUGACAGAUUUUAACUUCCAGGUUGGAAAUAAAAUAAGGUAAUACUAUUUUGAUUGUGCGAUAAGCUUUGAUCUGUUACAGUAUCAUUUGUUUUUGCACAGAAUCAAACCACAUUGGUCACAAAUGAACUACAUUUGAGCUGUGAGCCACUGUGCAACCUGAAGCUGUAUAUAUUUUCUAAACUCAAUUUUGAGAGGCUAGGUUUAAAUUUCCUCAAAUCUAUCUUAGUAGCAUAUUACAUUUCAUUUGAGUUGAUGGUCGCUAUUUUCCUCCUUUUUAUUGGCUGUAAAAUUAAUUAAGUGAAUUCGGCAAAAAAUACUCCACAUUCUGUGAAAAAAUGUUUUCCCAAGUUUAGAUGAAGUUAAUAAGGCAAGUGUGUGUAAGUACCAUUAAUUUCUGUUUUCCCUUACAUUUUUUACUGUGUGUGUAUAUAUAUAUAUAUAUAUAUAUAUAUAUAUAUAUAUAUAUAUAUAUAUAUAUAUAUAUAUAUAUAUAUAUGUAUAUAUUACCUGAACCUAGUCUAUACAAGUCUGAAUGUCCUUGUGAGAAGUACAAGCAGGUUGUUAAAUAUAAUUUUGCGCGAUGAAGAAAACACUCAAAUUGCAGAAGCCUAUUUUUUUCUUUAUAUUGUCUUAGCUGCAUUUUUGCACAGAAUUAAGCUGAGAAUGUUUUUUAUAGCAGUCACACUAGGAAGAGAUCGCUUCAGGACCAGCACGGAGAGGAGGAACAGUAACUGUUUCAUCAACCUUUAGCAUGUGACAUGUGUUAAGGUAGACUUGAAUAAAUCUGAACAUAUCCUUUAACACAAAUCUAGGAGCGGAUGUUGUUUGAGAUUCUGAGAUGUGUUGAAUGCGCAAUAAUAACUGCCAUGUGUAAAGUUGUGCAUGUCAUGAUGUUUCUGUGUAGAUGAUAUACUGUAUGAUACUACAACUAUCUAAAAUACUUCAUUACUCCACAACACUACUCUAGUUUUUAGAAGAAAGUGCAUUUAGUUCUUGUGAGGUGUGGCGAUGUUCAUGCUGCUUCUCAUAUGCUACCUGCUAAUCUUCUGUAUGGACUCAUAUAAACUGCUGUCCUGAACAUUAAUGCUUUUCCUCACUAGCCUCACAUUUAUCAAUUAUUCUGGUUCUGUUUAUUUGCCUUGAGUUUCAGUCAUUUAUUAUUGCCAAAUUAAAGGUCUGGUGAUGACAUCGUCAAUAAAGCGUGUGACUCCUGAAACCUACUGUGUGUGUUCAUGCAUGUUUAUCUGUCAGCAACUAUCUUCAUCUUCAGACACACAUACAUAUUAUUAUUUUUUACAA